Molecule: ribosomal RNA, 468 nt
Filed under: uncultured bacterium
Lineage: Bacteria
Description: partial 16S ribosomal RNA
Rfam family: Bacterial small subunit ribosomal RNA
Source: RNAcentral
GACGAACGCUGGCGGCGGGCUUAACACAUGCCAGUCGAACGGAAAGGCCCUGCUUUUGUGGGGUGCUCGGGUGGCGAACGGGUGAGUAACACGUGAGUAACCUGCCCUUGACUUUGGGAUAGCUUCAGGAAACUGGGGCUAAUACCGGAUAGGAGCUCCUGCUGCAUGGAGGGGGUUGGAAAUUUUCGGCGGUUGGGGAUGGACUCGCGGCUUAUCAGCUUGUUGGUGGGGUAGCGGCUUACCAAGGCUUUGACGGGUAGCCGGCCUGAGAGGGUGACCGGCCACAUUGGGACUGAGAUACGGCCCAGACUCCUACGGGAGGCAGCAGUGGGGAAUAUUGCACAAUGGGAGGAAGCCUGAUGCAGCAACGUCGCGUGCGGGAUGACGGUCUUCGGGUUGUAAACCGCUUUCGCCUGUGACGACGCGUGAGUGACGGUAAUGGGUAAAGAAGCACCGGCUAACUACGUG